Molecule: long non-coding RNA, 5561 nt
Organism: Acinonyx jubatus (cheetah)
Lineage: Eukaryota; Metazoa; Chordata; Mammalia; Carnivora; Felidae
Exons: 4
Source: RefSeq, a predicted model, not a curated record
CUUAUUCACCUGUCUCUGACCUGACUCCUCUUCCCUCGGGACGUCCUCCUGCAUAAGGCAAACGACGAUUUUAAAACUCCCCCCUCCCCCAUUUUCUCACCUCUUCAGUUCUUGCAUUCAGGGAUAUGUGUAUACGUUCCAGGUGACCUGCAAAGCUAAGAUAUUAUCUCGACUGGCAAGAACACUGAUUCACAAAAGCUGGAUCUUCUGUUCUACUACACUAUCACUCAUACUUAGAAGAGAAAACAAUGAAUGUGAGAAGGAUGGAAAGCAGGAGGUGACAUCAUAAUGUGAGUACUGGAUGGUUGUUUGCAGACUAAAGGAAUAAUCUGAACUCCUCACAUCCUCAAUGAUCCCAGAAGUCACUUGAUGACAUGAAACCUAGGCUCAACUAAAACUGUGGAGAGGCUAAAGGUGGCACCCCAUCAUACCUCACUUCCCUUUUAAAAUUUAUUUCCCUUGGGCGCCUGGGUGGCUCAGUUGCGUAAGCCACAGACUCUUGGUUUCAGCUAAGGUCAUGAUCUCAGGGUUUCAUGGGUUUGAGCCCCACAUUGGGCUCUGAGCUGGCAGUGCAGAGUCUGCUUGGGAUUCUCUCUCUCCUUCUCUCCCUGCCCCUCCCCUGCAUCCACUGUCUCUGUCUCUCUCAAAAUAAAUAAGUAAACUUUAAAAAAAUUUAAAAAAAAUAUUUCCGAAAAUCCAGGGCUGACCCACGUAAGCCAACCCUCUCAGGUUUGUUACUUUCUUCUUCUUCUUCCUUUAAAAUUUAGGAUUUGACCCUUCAAUCUUCUCUCUUUGCUUUUCCCCCACAAUAGCUCAGAUUAUCAUGGCUAAAAAUGUCAACUAAUGAACUAUAUUCAUGCAGUUAAAGCAUUUAACUUUUGAGUGUAUGCCAAUGGUAACAGCUUAAUAGUGGCCGUUUGGAGGCAAGCGCACAUAUUUACUGCCUAACCAAUUAGGCUUUUUAUGAAUUCCAAUCAAAAUGAAAGUUUCCUUAACGUCACUCAUGAUGCAAUCAUUCAGAGGCAGCCUUUAAAUUGUACCACAUAGGAGGCUACUUACUUGACUUGUAUAUAAGUACAUUUUGAUAAAAUGAGACCGAGCAGACUUUAUAUCCUACUUUGUGUCAAGCACUGCAAUGAUACACACUUUUGUUUGACUUGGAUUUCCAUUUAGAACUAAAAAGGUGGGGCGCUUGUGUGGCUCAGUCACUUUAGUGGCCAACUCUUGAUUUCGGCUCAGGUCAUGAUCUCAGGGUUCAUGGGUUUGAGCCCCACAUGGAGCUCUGUGCUCACAGUGCAGAGCCUGUUUUGGAUCCUCUGUCUCCCUCUCCCUGCCCCUCCCCUGCUCAUGCUUGUUCUCUCUCAAAAAUAAAUAAGCAUUCACAAAAAACAAUUUUUUAAAGAUAAAACUAAAAAGGCAAACAAUACAUUUAAAAACUAGCAUAUCUUCUUUAUUAUUGCAUGCAUUUUAAUAAACAUGGUACACAGGGACAUAAGUGACAGACUGGAUCAAAUAAGAUCUACAGUUGGGGCACCUGGGUGGCUCAGUCGGUUAAGCAUCUGAUUCUUGAUUUUGACCCAGGUCAUGAUCUCAUGGUUUGUGAUUUUUAGCCCUGCAUUGAACUCGGCACUGACAACACAGAGCCUGCUUUGGAUUCUCUCUCUCUCCCUCUCUCUCUGCCCCUCCCCUGCUCUCUUUCAAAAUAAAUAAACUUAAAAAAAUAAGACUUACAGUUUAAGCUCCAUCUACAGGAUGCAAACCUCAAGGUAAACAUAUUCAGCAUCACACAGAGGAAAGAGCUAAAAACAUAUCUUUUGCUAUUUUGACCCAAUUAGGGGGAAAAUGCAUCUUUCCUAAAAUACUAUUUUCCAUUAAAAAAAUAGCUAAAUAGCCCUCCAGCUUGUUAGUGUUCCUACCACCUUAUAAAAUUUGGCAUUGUAUAAUACAUCAGCUAUUGAAACAAUGGGAUGGAUUACAACUGUUUUACUUUAGAAAUGCUACAAGAGAGUCUGUCAAAAUAAAAGGGGUCAAGACUUGGCUCCAUGACUUGCAUGGAUUUGGUCAACAAUGAUAACAACUAACAAUUACUAAAUGUCCAUGAAGUACUAGGCACUGUGCUAAAUGUGCUACACAUACUAACUUAUUUAGUCUUGAUGAUGCCAACAAUUCUACAAGGCAGAUACAGUUAUCAUUCCAAUUUUAAAGCUAAGGAAACUAAUAUUUUGAGGAUUUAAACACUUGUGCAAACAGGGUAGAGCAGACAUUUGAACCUAAGCAGGAGAAUUUCAAACCCCACUUUCUUAACCUGUCAGAGCAUUUCUGAGUCUCAGUUUUCUUCUCUACAAAAAGGGUAUAGGGGGCACCUGGUUGACUCAGUCGGUUAAACAUCUGACUUUUUAAUAAUUUUUUUAAUGUUUAUUUUUGAGAGAGAUACAGAGUGUGAGUGGGGGAGGGGCAGAGAGAGAGACAGAGACAGAGAGAGAGAGAGAGAGACAGAAUCCAAAGGAGGCUCCAGGCUCUGAGCUGUCAGCACAGAGCCCAAUGUGGGACUCAAACUCAUGAACGGCGAGAUCAUGACCUGAGCUGGAGCUGGAUGCUUAACCAACCGAGCCACCCAGGUGCCCCUAAACAUUUGACUCUUGAUUUCAACUCAGGUCAUGAUCUCACAGUCAUGAGAUAAGGCCCCAUGUCAGGUGCCAUGUGGGUGUGGAACCUGCUUAAGAUUCUCUCUCUUCCUCUCCCCUCUCUCUCUCUCCAAAAAAAAAGCAUAAUAACAUUAGCAAGUUCAAAAAGUUACCUUUUACUGAGCUAAAUAUUUCAUAUGCCUUUUGUUUUGUUUCCUCUGCAAAUGAGAAUAUUACUUAUAUUGAUUUACCUGAACAGGCAUUGCCCAUAGAUUGGGACACAGGAACAAGAACCACAUGAGUUGAUUGGUUUCAAUGGCAACCAAGUUAUUGAUCUGUCCCAGGGUCAUCUCACCCAUGGAUAAAUUAGAUGUAGACAGCCUAAGAAUUUUAUUGUAUAUCAUGGCCUGCAAAAAAAAAAAAGUGUAUUUGAAGCUCUAAACUUAAUCAACAUUAUGUUUAUUUACUUCCAUUGAAAAUAUUACAUUUUAAAAAAAUUUUUGGAAAAAAAAAUCCCUGUAAUGACAUCUUCUUCAGUCAACCACUAUUUUCAUUUUAGCAUAGUUACUUUCAGUCUUUAGCUAAACACAAACCUAACUGGCCAUAUGAUCAAAACAUAUAUUUGACUUUAAACAUAUUGAAACAGAGAUCAUCAAAUGAAAGAUUUCAAAAGCUUUCUUAAUAUAUAUUAAUACAAAACUUUUUAAAAUUCUGUGGGUCUACUAAUUAGUUCUGUUUCUUUUAUCAAGUAGCUCCUAGAAGUGUUGAAGUUGCAGUGUCAAAGUCAAACAGAAAGAGAAACAAAACUGAGACCCCUACCCUUCCUGUCAUUGAAUGGCAUGUGGCAUUUUCAAGAAACAAAGAUCAUUCAAAGCUUGUACAUACCAGCAGAGCUCCACGGAGGUUAAUGCCAGUCUCUAUGGUUACAUAGUAGGAAGCCUGCAAAAAUGUCCUUUGCAGAAUAAGGGCCAAGAAAAGAAGAACUGCUAGUACAUAAGCAUUUUCAAGAAAUUCCUUUGAUGAAAGGGUUUCUGAAAUCUUGUCCCAAAAGAAAAAGACAUAAAUUAGAACUGGUCUUUUCAUAUACCAGGUGUACAGAUCACAUUUAUCAAACGAUACAUAAUUCUUAAAUAUAAAAACUCAAUGUCUUUAUAAUGCAGCAGUGGAAUGAGCCAAGGUAAUUUUGGUUUUUCUUCAUCAUGUCCACAGAUACAAAUUCAAACUAGUUCAAUGCAUAAAAUCCCAAAUUGAUCAUUAAGAUUGCUGGAAAUGCCUGAUUGUAGUAAAAAGGUAAAUUUUGAUUUAAAAAUGUACGUACAUUUUCAGAAAAGAUGUAUUUAGUCUUGAGAAGUAGUAAUUGAAGAUCAAAGUUAAUUUAGACUGUAAUUUAUUUGACUUAGUCUAAUAUUCACAUAAUUUAUAUUAAAUGAUAAAUGAUAAAUGUAAUUUGGGUAUUGAUUUCACCCAUGUUGACACUUCCAAUGACAAAACACAAUUUAUAAAAUUGUUUCAGUAGGAAUAUGACUGAAGUCAUCAUAAGGAUAUACAAAACUGAUUGCUUUUUGUUUGGAACAAUACUGUGUGGUAACUUGGUUAGAAGAGAGAGAAAGGUAACACUCAAAUAAGGACAUCAUGUCAGUUUGGGCAAUACUUUUGUGGGUUAGAUCCAUUAAAUUCUACUUCUGGUCCCUUCCUUUUCUUUCAUGGGUAUACAUACAAAUGUGUAAGUUCUUCCUUCUCAGAAAAAUGUGUGAUUAAUAUGUGUAAGGGAGAGGGAUGAUAGAAAAAUUAUAUGUGGAACUUAUGGAAUGCAAUGAGGCUAGUAGAGACAAAACAUCACAAAAGUGCAUUCAAUGGUGAAAAUAUCUGGUUCAUUUCAAGAUAACUGAACACUACUAUAUGCAAGCAAAAGGGCUACACAUUGUGAACACAGAUAUGAACAGUUCACAGUCAUUCUGUUUAAAGAGCUUACCACCCAGAGAGAUAAGCGUAUCCAUAAAUAACAUGCUUCCUUAUAAAUAGCAUUUACAGCAAGUGCCAAGGUGAAAUCAACAAUGUGUUGGAGAGUAUGAACGAGAGUCAAAUUCCAACCAGAACAAUCAGAAAAGCUUCAUGAAGAGAUGGCAUUUAAUGUAGGCUUUGAAAAAUGCAUGAAAUUUUAAUAGGUGAAGAAAAAAGGACAGGAAAUCAGAUUGAGAGAAUAGAAAAGGAAAAUUGAUUCAUCUAGACUAGAUUUUUCUAUCUGUGAAACUAGGGAAAUCAAUUCUUAUCUUAGAAAGAAACUAGGAAGUUCAUGAUGAGAUUUUCUUAAGAACAGAAAAUAAAAGACUAUAUUUACAACAGCAAAUAUGUAAUAUCUUAUACCAUAUAUCCCCACAAAUAUUAGCAUAAUAUCUAAUAAAAAUAUCAUAAUGCGACUUGCCCUUAUCAUUGUGAAUCAAGGUGAUGGUGUUUAUCAUAUAAGAAAAGAAAUAUGUAUAUAGUACAAAUCGCAUUGCUAACAUGAUUGGUCACAGGCCUCUAAAAAAAUGACUCAGCCAUCCCUCAUGUACUCAUGCAUGAAAAUUCUUCUAAGGGUUGCUAAAAAGAUCAAAGAAAAUAAUCAACGUGAAAUUCCUGAGCAUGGCUUCUGGCACACAGUUGAUACUUAUCAAAUGCCUGUAGGCUCUGAAUCUGAGAAAUAAUUUUGUUGAACAGAUCCAUUCAAUGAAUACAUAAAUACAUGAUUUUCUCUACAAGGAAAAUUGUUUUCUUUGUUUUAAAUGCAUUCAAUUCUCUGUAAAUAAGACUGUAAGAACUGUUCAUAGAACUGCAUUAAUAAAAAGUAACAAUUACAAUAAAAUCUGCCAAUAAUAUGUUCCCCUUCAAAAGCACCACAGACUUACUCCUGUUGUGUUAUUUGUCCCAUUCUGGGUUUCAUUCACACGCUGAACUAUU